This is a long non-coding RNA of Papaver somniferum (opium poppy), 1673 nucleotides long. RefSeq lists it as uncharacterized. The transcript is spliced from 4 exons. The record is from RefSeq and is a predicted model, not a curated record. NCBI's taxonomy places the organism in Eukaryota, Viridiplantae, Streptophyta, Magnoliopsida, Ranunculales, Papaveraceae.
CUCCCCCUUCCUCUCCUCCACAGAUACCGCCGCUGUAAUCUUUUGCCGAGAGAAAGAAAAAGAGAUCUAGAGAGAAAACAAGAGAUCGAGGGAGAAAAAGAUAGAUAAAGUUUGAUUCGAACCACUGAUGGUGGUUGAUUAGGGUUUUGGUUUAAAUCUGGAUCUAUGUUCCAACCAAGAAGAAAAGGGGGAUUUUGCUGUUUUAGAUUGCGGAAUACAACUGAAUAAAAGAUAGGGUGUUUACGAAUUGGAAGAAUAAAUAAUUAAUUGAAGACGGUAAUGAACCUGCUGCUGUUGAAUAGAAGAUGGGUAUUUGUUAAUUGAGGUUGGAUGAUGAAUAGAGGGCCAGGGAAGAAGAGGAUGCAGAAAUUGAUCUCUGUUGAGGUUGAAAUAAUGAGUUGGUCUUCUUGAGGAUAAAAAGGUCUGAUUCGAAAUGGUUUUUUGGGUUGAAUCUGGAAGAGGUAGCAGUGAGAGUUUGAUGAUGGGGAUUUAUGAGAUUUCAUUAAACACCGAUUCAGGGUUUAAUGGGUUUGAGAGAUUCAUGAAGUUUUCGGAGAAGCUGAUUGUUGAAGAUUGCUGGUGGUUAGAACUGGAUGAAUUUGUGUUGCUCUGGAGCAGUAUUGAGAAACCAUUGCAGUUGUAGAUGAAAAUGAUACUGCAGAUUAUGGAUGGAAUUGUAGGUGACUCAAAGACGCUGGUGGUUUGCAGUUGAAUUAUCUUAACUAGAUUGUGUAUUUGCAGUAGAGAAGGGUGUUCCUGAUUUUUGGCUCAAUGCUGUGAAGACAAAUGAAGUUUUAAUGGAGGAGAUCACAGAGCGUGACGAAGGUGCUCUCAAGUAUCUGAAAGAUAUCAAUUGGUGCAGGAUUGAAGAGCUCAAGGGAUUCAAUUCAAGUCUUUUUGUUUAGAUAUUGAUCUUAGAUGCUCCUCCAGCUCUUCAGAAGCUAAGAGAGAACUUUCCUAGAUGAGACGAGAGUGCAAAUUGAAAGGGCACAAUUAUGCCUUUUUCGGUGUUGCAGAAUGGUUAGUAUGGCCUCUAAAAUGCUACUAGACAGUAUAUUGGGUAUUUUUAUAGCGAGUCUGUCUCCCGUGUUUGUUGUUCCUUAUUGGACCUGUAGUCAUUUGACCCUUACAUUUUAAGUUGUUACUCAUUUCAGAUUUAGACAUCUUGCGGUCUUAGGUUGUUUUGUAUGUUGGCUUAAUUGAUAAUGAUCCUUAAACUUUGCAGUUUCAACCUAACAAUGAAAAGUUUCUCAAACCUAUAUGUAAGAACUACCUGUGCAUUUCGCUUUUUGUUAUUCUGGUUCAUUUUUUUUUUCUGCAGUUUGUUAAGUUCAUAGUAUCAAUCUCAUCUCUUUGUGUUUCUCGUGAAAACUAACUUGCUUGAAUAUCUUGGCAUUUCCAUAGGUGUUAAUUACCAAGUAUCCUCUAACUGCAUCUAUGAUCAGAGAGGAACUUAAACACAAAAAUGAUGGCAGUAUGAAUCUCUUAUUAUGAGCUUGGUGCUACAAAGUCGAAGGAGUGUUCAUCUUUUGUUUCAAAAUUAAGGAAAUUGUAAUCAUCAUUUUUUUAAGAAAUGAUUAGUUUGUAUUUUUAAUCUUUUUGUUCCUGUAAAGAUUGUCUUUUUUAAAGAAAUGAUGUAAAUUGAUCUAUGUGAUAUAAUAAAACUUGAUUUA